GCUGGCGGCGCGCUUAACACAUGCAAGUCGCACGAGAAAGCAGGAGCAAUCCUGUGAGUACAGUGGCGUACGGGUGAGUAACACGUGGGUAAUCUACCUCUUAGUGGGGAAUAACGCUGGGAAACCGGCGCUAAUACCGCAUAAGCUCGAGAGAGGAAAGCAGCAAUGCGCUGAGAGAGGAGCCCGCGGCCGAUUAGCUAGUUGGCAGGGUAAAAGCCUACCAAGGCAUAGAUCGGUAGCCGGCCUGAGAGGGCACACGGCCACACUGGCACUGAAACACGGGCCAGACUCCUACGGGAGGCAGCAGUGGGGAAUCUUGCACAAUGGGGGUAACCCUGAUGCAGCGACGCCGCGUGAGCGAUGAAGCCCUUCGGGGUGUAAAGCUCUUUCGUCAGGGACGAUAAUGACGGUACCUGGAGAAGCAGCUGCGGCUAACUACGUGCCAGCAGCCGCGGUAAUACGUAGGCAGCGAGCGUUGUUCGGAGUUACUGGGCGUAAAGGGUGUGUAGGCGGUCUUCUAAGUUUGGUGUGAAAUCUCCCGGCUCAACCGGGAGGGUGCGCCGAAAACUGGGAGACUAGAGUGCGGGAUGGGAGAGUAGAAUUCCUGGUGUAGCGGUGAAAUGCGUAGAUAUCAGGAGGAA
RNAcentral lists this ribosomal RNA (641 nucleotides) under uncultured soil bacterium. RNAcentral's name for it is "bacterial SSU rRNA". It matches the Rfam family "Bacterial small subunit ribosomal RNA", at positions 35 to 706 of the family's 1533-position model. The record is from RNAcentral.